CGUUCACGAUUGCGGUGUUCAACUACCUACACUCAGGUAUUAGAUUCGAAUCUCUGGUUAUAGUAGAUUAGAUAUACUGCUUUACUUAUUUUCAUGCACAUCAUGCAGAUUUUGUUAUUCAGAUUUUUACAUAUACAUAUACAUGCCAUAGAUCUAUUUAUAGGAUAUUUUAUGAUCAGAUCAUAUGUUUGCAUUAUAGAUUAAAAUAUUUAAUCUGAAGUUAUUCU
Molecule: long non-coding RNA, 227 nt
Filed under: Elaeis guineensis (African oil palm)
Lineage: Eukaryota; Viridiplantae; Streptophyta; Magnoliopsida; Arecales; Arecaceae
Description: long non-coding RNA (EGUI_LNC058715)
Source: RNAcentral